This 409-nucleotide ribosomal RNA is filed under the name Bacillota bacterium. Its description in RNAcentral is "Firmicutes bacterium partial 16S ribosomal RNA". It matches the Rfam family "Bacterial small subunit ribosomal RNA", at positions 355 to 776 of the family's 1533-position model. Lineage: Bacteria; Bacillati; Bacillota. The record is from RNAcentral.
UGGGGAAUAUUGCACAAUGGGCGAAAGCCUGAUGCAGCGACGCCGCGUGAGGGAUGACGGCCUUCGGGUUGUAAACCUCUUUCAGCAGGGACGAAGCGCAAGUGACGGUACCUGCAGAAGAAGCACCGGCUAACUACGUGCCAGCAGGCGCGGUAAUACGUAGGGUGCAAGCGUUGUCCGGAAUUACUGGGCGUAAAGAGUUCGUAGGCGGUUUGUCGUGUCGUUUGUGAAAACCAGCAGCUCAACUGCUGGCUGGCAGGCGAUACGGGCAGACUUGAGUACUGCAGGGGAGACUGGAAUUCCUGGUGUAGCGGUGAAAUGCGCAGAUAUCAGGAGGAACACCGGUGGCGAAGGCGGGUCUCUGGGCAGUAACUGACGCUGAGGAACGAAAGCGUGGGUAGCGAACAGG